CCCUCACAGCCUCAGCUCCCCCAUUAGCUGAAGGACCUCAGCACAGAACUGGCCGAGUUACUGCCAGUCCCCAGAGACUGGGGAGGUGACUUCCCCGGGGGGGCAGGGGAGCUCUGGGUACACCUUGACUUCCACUGCUGCUUUUGGACCU
Molecule: long non-coding RNA, 151 nt
Organism: Oxyura jamaicensis (ruddy duck)
Lineage: Eukaryota; Metazoa; Chordata; Aves; Anseriformes; Anatidae
Exons: 3
Source: RefSeq, a predicted model, not a curated record